UCGCCACAAUCUGUAUGUAUGUGCCUGUCCAGUCAGGAUCCUGUAAUUCGGUACAUGUUGUCGUUUGUUGCUGUGUUACAUAUUUGUUUUUCGUUUAUUUUUGUACAUUUAUUCUUAGGCCGUUAGUUUUCUUGUUUAAUUGAUUUACAUCUGUCAUUUCGGACCUUUUAUUGUUGAAGGCCGUACUGUGACCUGUAGUUAUUAAUUUCUGUAUCAUUUGGUUUCUUGUGAAGAGUUGACACAUUGAAAUUAAUAC
This 256-nucleotide long non-coding RNA is filed under the name Mytilus galloprovincialis (Mediterranean mussel). The record is from RNAcentral. Lineage: Eukaryota; Metazoa; Mollusca; Bivalvia; Mytilida; Mytilidae.